UGAAAGAGAGUUUAAUAUAUAUUAAUACAAAUGUAUAAUGUGUUUUGAAAUUUUAAAACAACACUAAAGAUCAUAGGUUUCAAUAUAUAUAGCAUUUAUCGAAAAAUUAAACAUUAACCCAUAGAUUUUGAGAAAAAUUCAGAAAAAUGAAAAUUCUAUUUUAAUGCAUAGUUUCAUCCUUCACUAAAAUAUGAUUAAUGUCAAAGACGUUUGGAACCUUUGUGGUCUCCGUUUUUCUUGAGAAUAACGAUUUUAUAUUUGUUAGUCAACCAAUUUAGGGAGUAUUAUGAAGUUUUACUAAAUUAAUUGGCAAAAAAUUUUAAUGAUACCCAUGUACCAUGAAAGAGAGUUUAAUAUACAUUAAUACAAAUAUAGAAUGCGUUUAGAAAUUUUAAAACAACACUAAUGAUCAUAGGUUUUAGUAUAUGGAGCAUUUACCGAAAAAUUCAAUAUUUGCGUAUGGGUUAACUAAUAGAUUUUGAGAAAAAAUAAAAAAAAUAAAAAUUCUAUUUUAAUGCAUUAUUGCAUCCUUCAAUAACAUAUGAUGAAGGCCAAAGAGGAUUAGAACCUUUGUUGUCUCCG
RNAcentral lists this long non-coding RNA (582 nucleotides) under Brassica rapa (field mustard). Its description in RNAcentral is "long non-coding RNA (BRAP_LNC003158)". The record is from RNAcentral. Lineage: Eukaryota; Viridiplantae; Streptophyta; Magnoliopsida; Brassicales; Brassicaceae.